Molecule: ribosomal RNA, 533 nt
Filed under: Microtus thomasi (Thomas's pine vole)
Lineage: Eukaryota; Metazoa; Chordata; Mammalia; Rodentia; Cricetidae
Description: partial 16S ribosomal RNA
Rfam family: Bacterial large subunit ribosomal RNA
Source: RNAcentral
GAGGCCUGCCUGCCCAGUGACAAACGUUCAACGGCCGCGGUAUCCUGACCGUGCAAAGGUAGCAUAAUCACUUGUUCCUUAAUUGGGGACUGGAAUGAAUGGCCUCACGAGGAUUCAACUGUCUCUUACCUCUAAUCAGUGAAAUUGACCUCCCCGUGAAGAGGCGGGGAUACAACAACAAGACGAGAAGACCCUAUGGAGCUUUAAUUUUCUGUCUUAACUACUAAAUAACUAACCCUACUGGGAUAAAAAAAAGAGAAAUAAGUCAGUAAUUUCGGUUGGGGUGACCUCGGAGAAUAAGACAACCUCCGAAUGAUUUUAACCAAGACAAACAAGUCAAAGUAUUAAAAAUCAAAUUGACCCAAUUCAUUUGAUCAACGGACCAAGUUACCCUAGGGAUAACAGCGCAAUCCUAUUCAAGAGUCCAUAUCGACAAUUAGGGUUUACGACCUCGAUGUUGGAUCAGGACAUCCCAAUGGUGCAGCAGCUAUUAAUGGUUCGUUUGUUCAACGAUUAAAGUCCUACGUGAUCUG